Molecule: ribosomal RNA, 221 nt
Filed under: uncultured bacterium
Lineage: Bacteria
Description: partial 16S ribosomal RNA
Rfam family: Bacterial small subunit ribosomal RNA
Source: RNAcentral
UACGUAGGGUGCAAGCGUUGUCCGGAAUUAUUGGGCGUAAAGAGCUCGUAGGCGGUCCGUCACGUCGGCUGUGAAAACCCGAGGCUCAACCUCGGGCCUGCAGUCGAUACGGGCAGACUAGAGUGCGGUAGGGGAGACUGGAAUUCCUGGUGUAGCGGUGAAAUGCGCAGAUAUCAGGAGGAACACCGGUGGGCGAAGGCGGCAUCCUGGACCAAUUCUGA